CCUACGGGGGGCUGCAGUGUGGAAUAUUGGUCAAUGGACGAGAGUCUGAACCAGCCAAGUAGCGUGAAGGAUGACUGCCCUAUGGGUUGUAAACUUCUUUUAUAUGGGAAUAAAAUGUUCCACGUGUGGGAUUUUGUAUGUACCAUAUGAAUAAGGAUCGGCUAACUCCGUGCCAGCAGCCGCGGUAAUACGGAGGAUCCGAGCGUUAUCCGGAUUUAUUGGGUUUAAAGGGAGCGUAGGUGGAUUGUUAAGUCAGUUGUGAAAGUUUGCGGCUCAACCGUAAAAUUGCAGUUGAAACUGGCAGUCUUGAGUACAGUAGAGGUGGGCGGAAUUCGUGGUGUAGCGGUGAAAUGCUUAGAUAUCACGAAGAACUCCGAUUGCGAAGGCAGUUCACUGGACUGCAACUGACACUGAGGCUCGAAAGUGUGGGUAUCAAACAGGAUUAGAUACCCUUGUAGUC
This 460-nucleotide ribosomal RNA is filed under the name uncultured bacterium. Its description in RNAcentral is "partial 16S ribosomal RNA". It matches the Rfam family "Bacterial small subunit ribosomal RNA", at positions 338 to 795 of the family's 1533-position model. The record is from RNAcentral.